RNAcentral lists this ribosomal RNA (1947 nucleotides) under human oral metagenome. Its description in RNAcentral is "bacterial LSU rRNA". It matches the Rfam family "Bacterial large subunit ribosomal RNA", at positions 1 to 1977 of the family's 2925-position model. The record is from RNAcentral.
UUAAACAAAAAAGAGCGUAGGGCGGAUGCCUUGGCACUAAGAGCCGAUGAAGGACGUGAUAAGCUGCGAUAAGCUGCGGGGAAGAGCAAAUAUCUAUUGAUCCGCAGAUUUCCGAAUGGGGAAACCUACUGCAGAAGAGCUGCAGUGACUGUGCGUGAAUCCAUAGCGUACAGCCGGGAACCCGCUGAACUGAAACAUCUAAGUAGGCGGAGGAAGAGAAAACAACAGUGAUUCCGUAAGUAGCGGCGAGCGAACGCGGAAGAGCCCAAACCGCAGUGCGUGCACUGCGGGGUUCGGACUGCACACGGGAAUUGAAUCGUUACCGGAAAGACUUUGGAACAGUCUGCCACAGAGGGUGAAAGCCCCGUACGGGAAAACGAGUUAAGACCCAGCAGGAUCCAGAGUACCACGAGACACGUGAAACCUUGUGGGAAUGCGGGGGGACCACCCCCUAAGGCUAAAUACUACUUAGUGACCGAUAGUGCAUAGUACUGUGAAGGAAAGGUGAAAAGGACCCCGGGAGGGGAGUGAAAAAGAACCUGAAACCCUAUGUUUACAUGCAGUGGAAGUGCGAUACAUGAACGCACAACCGCGUACUUUUUGUAGAACGGUCCGGCGAGUUGCCGGUGCUGGCAAGGUUAAGGACUACAGGUCCGGAGCCGAAGGGAAACCGAGUCUUAAUAGGGCUUACAGUCAGCAUCGGCAGACCCGAAACCGGGUGAUCUAUCCAUGUCCAGGUUGAAGUCCCCGUAAAAGGGGAUGGAGGACCGAACACACAUCCGUUGAAAAGGGUGGUGAUGAGGUGUGGAUAGGGGAGAAAUUCCAAUCGAACCCGGAGAUAGCUGGUUCUCCUCGAAAUAGUUUUAGGACUAGCCUCGUUAUUAGUCUACCGGAGGUAGAGCACUGAAUUUUUGCGGGGGCGUCAAAGCCUACCAAGAGAUAUCAAACUCCGAAUGCCGGAUAGAUGAUUGACGGGAGUCAGACUGCACGAGAUAAGUUGGGUAGUCAAAAGGGAAAGAGCCCAGACCUACGGCUAAGGUCCCAAAGUGUGUGUUAAGUGGAAAAGGAUGUGGGAUUUCGAAGACAGCUAGGAUGUUGGCUUAGAAGCAGCCAUACAUUAAAAGAGUGCGUAACAGCUCACUAGUCGAGAGGUCCUGCGCCGAAAAUGUCCGGGGCUAAACACAACACCGAAGCCUGGGAAUGUAUUUAUACAUUGGUAGAGGAGCAUUCUUAGAAGCGUAGAAGCCAUACCGGAAGGAAUGGUGGAGUAAUAAGAAGAGAGAAUGCCGGAAUGAGUAGCGAGAAAGAGGUGAGAAUCCUCUUGGCCGAAUAUCUAAGGUUUCCUGAGUAAAGCUGAUCUGCUCAGGGUAAGUCGGGGCCUAAGGCAAGGUCGAAAGACGUAGUCGAUGGAUAACAGGUACAGAUUCCUGUACUACAUAUAAUCAGAACUGUGGGGACACGGAGACUGGAACCGAACCCGGGAGGACAAAAACCGGGGCAAGCGAAGUACCUGUAUGGGAGGAAAAACCACCAUACAAGGGGAAAGCGUUAAGCGUACCGAAAAUUAGUAGGGAAGUCGGUUAGGGAGCCGUCAAGAAAAGCCGCUAUAGUGUUAUAUGUACCCGUACCGCAAACCGACACAGGUAGAUGAGGAGAGAAUCCUAAGGCCGGCGGGAGAAGCAUUGUUAAGGAACUCGGCAAAAUGACCCCGUAACUUCGGGAGAAGGGGUGCCACUUUAAAAGAGUGGUCGCAGAAAAAAGGCUCAAGCAACUGUUUAGCAAAAACACAGGUCUAUGCGAAACCGCAAGGUGAAGUAUAUGGGCUGACGCCUGCCCGGUGCCGGAAGGUUAAGAGGAGAAGUCAGGAAACGAAGCUUUGAAUUGAAGCCCCGGUAAACGGCGGCCGUAACUAUAACGGUCCUAAGGUAGCGAAAUUCCUUGUCGGGU